Molecule: small nuclear RNA, 18 nt
Filed under: Arabidopsis thaliana (thale cress)
Lineage: Eukaryota; Viridiplantae; Streptophyta; Magnoliopsida; Brassicales; Brassicaceae
Description: snRNA_00705
Source: RNAcentral
GUCAUUCGGGAACCGACG